This 900-nucleotide ribosomal RNA is filed under the name Eutypella sp. RNAcentral describes it as "partial large subunit ribosomal RNA". It matches the Rfam family "Eukaryotic large subunit ribosomal RNA", at positions 39 to 963 of the family's 3401-position model. Lineage: Eukaryota; Fungi; Ascomycota; Sordariomycetes; Xylariales; Diatrypaceae. The record is from RNAcentral.
CAUAUCAAUAAGCGGAGGAAAAGACACCAACAGGGAUUGCCCUAGUAACGGCGAGUGAAGCGGCAACAGCUCAAAUUUGAAAUCUGGCCUUCGGGUCCGAGUUGUAAUUUGUAGAGGAUGCUUUUGGUGCGGUGCCUUUCGAGUUCCUUGGAACAGGACGCCUUAGAGGGUGAGAGCCCCGUACGGUUGGACACCAAGCCUCUGUAAAGCUCCUUCGACGAGUCGAGUAGUUUGGGAAUGCUGCUCUAAAUGGGAGGUAAAUUUCUUCUAAAGCUAAAUACCGGCCAGAGACCGAUAGCGCACAAGUAGAGUGAUCGAAAGAUGAAAAGUACUUUGAAAAGAGGGUUAAAUAGCACGUGAAAUUGUUGAAAGGGAAGCGUUUAUGACCAGACCUUCGUCGGGCGGAUCAUCCGGUGUUCUUCACCGGUGCACUUCGCCCGGCUUAGGCCAGCAUCGGUUUUCGCAGGGGGACAAAGGUCCCGGGAACGUAGCUCCCUCCGGGGAGUGUUAUAGCCCGGGACGUAAUACCCUUGCGGGGACCGAGGUUCGCGCUCCGGCAAGGAUGCUGGCGUAAUGGUCAUCAACGACCCGUCUUGAAACACGGACCAAGGAGUCGAACAUUUAUGCGAGUGUUUGGGUGUUAAACCCUCACGCGUAAUGAAAGUGAACGGAGGUGAGAGCCCGUACGGGUGCAUCAUCGACCGAUCCUGAUGUCUUCGGAUGGAUUUGAGUAAGAGCAUAACUGUUCGGACCCGAAAGAUGGUGAACUAUGCGUGGAUAGGGUGAAGCCAGAGGAAACUCUGGUGGAGGCUCGCAGCGGUUCUGACGUGCAAAUCGAUCGUCAAAUCUGCGCAUGGGGGCGAAAGACUUAUCGAACCAUCUAGUAGCUGGUUACCGCCG